Molecule: ribosomal RNA, 422 nt
Filed under: uncultured prokaryote
Description: bacterial SSU rRNA
Rfam family: Bacterial small subunit ribosomal RNA
Source: RNAcentral
CCAACGGGUGGCAGCAGUGGGGAAUAUUGCGCAAUGGGGGAAACCCUGACGCAGCAACGCCGCGUGAGUGAAGAAGGUUUUCGGAUCGUAAAGCUCUGUCUUUGGGGACGAAAUAAAUGACGGUACCCAAGGAGGAAGCCCCGGCUAACUACGUGCCAGCAGCCGCGGUAAUACGUAGGGGGCAAGCGUUGUCCGGAAUUACUGGGCGUAAAGAGCACGUAGGCGGUUUAUUAAGUUAGAUGUGAAAGUUUGCAGCUUAACUGUAAAAGUGCAUUUAAAACUGGUAGACUUGAGUCUCGGAGAGGUAAGCGGAAUUCCUAGUGUAGCGGUGAAAUGCGUAGAGAUUAGGAAGAACACCGGUGGCGAAGGCGGCUUACUGGACGAGUACUGACGCUCAGGUGCGAAAGCGUGGGGAGCAAACA